AUGCCAGGGAACAAAAAGAACAACAAAGUUGUGAGACUUGGCAAUGUGAUUGAAAGGUUAGGCAAGUUGACGGGGGUCAUAAAGAAGGGCACCGGUGCGACACGUUCCACACAGGUAGGCAGGGCCAAACCCGCACAACGAGCCACGGUGGAUGGUACCCAGGGUAGACGAAAUGGUCGUACCCUUGUGUCCCGUGUUGCUAGCCCUAUCCCCUCUGCCCAUUCUGAGGAGGAGUCGGAGGAGGAGAGGGAGGAGGAGCUAGUUAUGGAGGAGAGGGAAGAGGAGGCAGAGCAGGAGGGGGAGGAGGAGCUGGUUGUGCAGGAGGAGUUGGAGGAGGGAGAGUAUGAGGUGGAGGAAUCGGCAAAGCACAUGGAAUGGCCGGUUCCUAAGGAGACCAAAAUCUAG
This 405-nucleotide ribosomal RNA is filed under the name Triticum aestivum (bread wheat). Its description in RNAcentral is "partial small subunit ribosomal RNA". The record is from RNAcentral. Lineage: Eukaryota; Viridiplantae; Streptophyta; Magnoliopsida; Poales; Poaceae.